This 69-nucleotide transfer RNA is filed under the name Dipodomys ordii (Ord's kangaroo rat). It matches the Rfam family "tRNA". From Rfam's summary of the family: Transfer RNA (tRNA) molecules are approximately 80 nucleotides in length. Their secondary structure includes four short double-helical elements and three loops (D, anti-codon, and T loops). The record is from Rfam by way of RNAcentral. Lineage: Eukaryota; Metazoa; Chordata; Mammalia; Rodentia; Heteromyidae.
GGAAUGUAGCUUAGUGGUAGAGUGCUUGCUUAGAAUGCAUGAAGUCUUGGGUUCAACUCCCCAAUACCA